Molecule: non-coding RNA, 1092 nt
Organism: Vigna umbellata (rice bean)
Lineage: Eukaryota; Viridiplantae; Streptophyta; Magnoliopsida; Fabales; Fabaceae
Source: RefSeq, a predicted model, not a curated record
GCUGCACGUUCAGUGUAAUGUCCCUUUGCAAUGAUGCGAUCAAAGAGCUCACCCCCUGCACACAACUCCAUAACCAAAUGAACAGAUUGUUUGUCUUCAAAAACACUGACAAGCUCCACAAUGUUGGGCUGCCCUGAGAGAUGGCAUAUUGCUUUCCUGUGCUCUUGUGUGUGCACAAAUGUGUGACACCAAACUGGCCUCUCCCCAGCUCUUUCCCCAUGCUGUAAGUACUUCUAACAUCCUCCAUGGGCCUUCCAAGAACAGGCCCAAUGGGGGCAGGCUUGGAGUGCUUGGUGGGAGGAUGGUUAGGCUUAGAUUGUGGAGGGGUGGUUGCCGUUCCCCCUUGGUUGUCGUUUUGUUGGUUGGUUUCUCCCUUGUUUUCAGAAUCAUUGGUGCCACCUGAGCAACAGUUGCCCAUGGUGGAAUGGAAGGGAGAACAGGAACAAAAGGGGUGGAGGGAAAGGAAAGGAUGUGAGUUGAUAGAUAUAGGUGAAGGUGGUGUGAUUUGAGGGCUGAAAAAUUAUGUUGUAUUUGUUUUCUGGAGAGAAGGUGUUAGCAUUAGGGAGGGGAAGUGUCUGUUGUUGGAAAAGAGGUAAAAAAAAUUGUCUAAAAAAAAGGUAUGGGGAAAUUUGAAAGGGUGUUAAAAGGGGUGUUGGUGAAGAGAAUUAGAGGGAGCAAAUUAAGAGUCUUUGGCUUGUCUCUUCCUUUGGAAAAGGCUGACUUUUUUAUUCAGACAAUGGUGGCCAGCAUUUCUCGGAACAGGUGGGAGCUGAGAAGGAACCAUUUGAAGGGGUCCAUGCAUAAAUGAGUAAGCCAAAAAUGAGAAUGAUGGCCCCUGUCAUAAAACCUGCUGGAAGAGAGGAGGCAACACCAAGGUAUGGCAAUGGCAUGGUGAACACAUAGAUUGAUAUUGGAACUGCCACAACAAAAAGCCACAUUCUAUCAAUUGGGUCCAUACAAUAAUUUUAUCAAACAGCUUGCAUACCUGAAAAUGUGGAAGCAAGACAAGAUACAACAGCAGAAGAGAUUUUGAGGAGAUGAAGCAGUGCAAUGUUGAAACCAAUGUUUACAAUAAUAAACAACAGAGGCAGC